AAUCUUGGACAUUGUGCGCAAGCGUGAUCCAGCCAUGCCGCGCUAGUGAAUUAGACCUACGGGUAGAAAAUAUCUUUCGGACGGAAAGAAAUCGCGCAGACUAAUACCCAGCGCUGAUGACGGUACCGUCAUAAGAAGCACCCGCUAACUCCGUGCCAGCAGCCGCGGUAAUACGUAGGGUGCGAGCGUUAAUCGGAAUUACUGGGCGUAAAGCGUGCGCAGGCGGUUGAUUAAAACAGGCGUGAAAUCCCCGGGCUUAACCUGGGAAAUGCGCUUGUGACUGGUCAGCUAGAGUACGGCAGAGGGGGGUGGAAUUCCACGUGUAGCAGUGAAAUGCGUAGAGAUGUGGAGGAACACCGAUGGCGAAGGCAGCCCCCUGGGCCGAUACUGACGCUCAUGCACGAAAGCGUGGGUAGCAAACAGG
RNAcentral lists this ribosomal RNA (424 nucleotides) under uncultured bacterium. RNAcentral's name for it is "partial 16S ribosomal RNA". It matches the Rfam family "Bacterial small subunit ribosomal RNA", at positions 360 to 776 of the family's 1533-position model. The record is from RNAcentral.